UCGUUUGGCCUUGGGGGGCUAUCUGCAGUCGAGCGGACAGAAGGGAGCUUGCUCCCGGAUGUUAGCGGCGGACCGUUUGAAUAAAACGUGGGUAACCUGCCUGUAAGACUGGGAUAACUCCGGGAAACCGGAGCUAAUACCGGAUAGUUCCUUGAACCGCAUGGUUCAAGGAUGAAAGACGGUUUCGGCUGUCACUUACAGAUGGACCCGCGGCGCAUUAGCUAGUUGGUGGGGUAAUGGCUCACCAAGGCGACGAUGCGUAGCCGACCUGAGAGGGUGAUCGGCCACACUGGGACUGAGACACGGCCCAGACUCCUACGGGAGGCAGCAGUAGGGAAUCUUCCGCAAUGGACGAAAGUCUGACGGAGCAACGCCGCGUGAGUGAUGAAGGUUUUCGGAUCGUAAAGCUCCUGUUGUUAGGGAAGAACAAGUGCGAGAGUAACUGCUCGCACCUUGACGGUACCUAACCAGAAAGCCACGGCUAACUACGUGCCAGCAGCCGCGGUAAUACGUAGGUGGCAAGCGUUGUCCGGAAUUAUUGGGCGUAAAGGGCUCGCAGGCGGUUUCUUAAGUCUGAUGUGAAAGCCCCCGGCUCAACCGGGGAGGGUCAUUGGAAACUGGGAAACUUGAGUGCAGAAGAGGAGAGUGGAAUUCCACGUGUAGCGGUGAAAUGCGUAGAGAUGUGGAGGAACACCAGUGGCGAAGGCGACUCUCUGGUCUGUAACUGACGCUGAGGAGCGAAAGCGUGGGGAGCGAACAGGAUUAGAUACCCUGGUAGUCCACGCCGUAAACGAUGAGUGCUAAGUGUUAGGGGGUUUCCGCCCCUUAGUGCUGCAGCUAACGCAUUAAGCACUCCGCCUGGGGAGUACGGUCGCAAGACUGAAACUCAAAGGAAUUGACGGGGGCCCGCACAAGCGGUGGAGCAUGUGGUUUAAUUGGAAGCAACGCGAAGAACCUUACCAGGUCUUGACAUCCUCUGACAACCCUAGAGAUAGGGCUUUCCCUUUCGGGGACAGAGUGACAGGUGGUGCAUGGUUUUUUUCCCGGCUUCUGUA
RNAcentral lists this ribosomal RNA (1055 nucleotides) under Bacillus sp. f1b4. RNAcentral's name for it is "bacterial SSU rRNA". It matches the Rfam family "Bacterial small subunit ribosomal RNA", at positions 33 to 1071 of the family's 1533-position model. The record is from RNAcentral. Lineage: Bacteria; Bacillati; Bacillota; Bacilli; Caryophanales; Bacillaceae. RNAcentral also lists the same sequence under 1 other name.